UUAUCAGUAUUAUCCUGACACACUGUGGUGUUUUAUAGAGAGAAUUAGGAUCCUUAACAGUGCUGCUGUGCCUUAGCAGCAGCACUACACUAUGGAUCGUGACCUAUACAAUCAUUCAUAAGUCUCCAAGUGUUGUGUGUGCUCUUGAUCCAAAACAUGCCUCGCUGAGUCUUUUGGGCCUGAGGAUCUGGAACUGGAGGAACGAGAGUUCUUGCUGCUUUGCUGGACUAAUCAGGCAGAAAGUGCCAAGCUCUCAAAAGCUAGAAAUAAUGAACACUUUCUGGAAUGUACAACGGUGGCCACGUAGUACCCUCUGGGUGUGUGGAAAAGACAGAGUCUUUUCAAAGUGGAAGAGAUCUGAUCUAGAGUGCCGAGGUCUGCAAGAUAACUGCAAAUGAUCCUAUUUAAAAAGAAAAAUACACAAAAUGCAAACAGAAUCAACAUCUCAACUUCUUCUCCUCCCAUCCAAUGUUUCACUGUUGGGAAACAGUACAGAAGACUGUGAGAGAGCCUGUACCACAUCAGUACCUUUUGGGGGAAGGAUUCCCUCAUGCCGAACACAAGCUAACAGCUAUAAACAUGUCCAUUAAUGAGAUUGAGAUGCAAGUGGUGAAGUUUGAAAGAUUGUUUGA
Long non-coding RNA from Nothoprocta perdicaria, 632 nucleotides. RefSeq lists it as uncharacterized. The record is from RefSeq and is a predicted model, not a curated record. Lineage: Eukaryota; Metazoa; Chordata; Aves; Tinamiformes; Tinamidae. The transcript is spliced from 4 exons.